GUUUGAUCCUGGCUCAGAUUGAACGCUGGCGGCAUGCUUUACACAUGCAAGUCGAACGGCAGCGGGGUCCUUCGGGAUGCCGGCGAGUGGCGAACGGGUGAGUAAUGCAUCGGAACGUACCGUGUAAUGGGGGAUAACGUAGCGAAAGUUACGCUAAUACCGCAUACGCCCUGAGGGGGAAAGCGGGGGAUCGCAAGACCUCGCGUUAUACGAGCGGCCGAUGUCGGAUUAGCUAGUUGGUGGGGUAAAGGCCCACCAAGGCGACGAUCCGUAGCGGGUCUGAGAGGAUGAUCCGCCACACUGGGACUGAGACACGGCCCCAGACUCCUACCGGGAGGCAGCAGUGGGGAAUUUUGGACAAUGGGGGCAACCCUGAUCCAGCCAUGCCGCGUGCGGGAAGAAGGCC
RNAcentral lists this ribosomal RNA (406 nucleotides) under uncultured bacterium. RNAcentral's name for it is "bacterial SSU rRNA". It matches the Rfam family "Bacterial small subunit ribosomal RNA", at positions 11 to 416 of the family's 1533-position model. The record is from RNAcentral.